Molecule: small RNA, 888 nt
Filed under: Pan troglodytes (chimpanzee)
Lineage: Eukaryota; Metazoa; Chordata; Mammalia; Primates; Hominidae
Description: processed transcript
Source: RNAcentral
GCGGCGGCCGAUGCGAGUGUGUAUGUGCGGGCGAGAAGAUGGCGGCGGCGGGGGAAGCAGCGUGAGCAGCCGGAGGAUCGCAGAGUCCCAAUGAAACGGGCAGCCAUGGCCCUCCACAGCCCGCAGUAUGUUUGGCAGAGAAAGCGGAAAUGGAGGUAGUGGCAUGAGUCAGCAGAAAGUAUAUUUUUGGAGAUUUUAGCCCUGAUGAAUUCAAUCAAUUCUUUGUGACUCCUCGAUCUUCAGUUGAGCUUCCUCCAUACAGUGGAACAGUUCUGUGUGGCACACAGGCUGUGGAUAAACUACCCGAUGGACAAGAAUAUCAGAGAAUUGAGUUUGGUGUCGGUGAAGUCAUUGAACCCAGUGACACUUCGCCGAGAACCCCCAGCUACAGUAUUUCAAGCACACUGAACCCUCAGGCCCCUGAAUUUAUUCUCGGUUGUACAGCUUCCAAAAUAACCCCUGAUGGUAUCACUAAAGAAGCAAGCUAUGGCUCCAUCGACUGCCAGUACCCAGGCUCUGCCCUCGCUUUGGAUGGAAGUUCUAAUGUGGAGGCGGAAGUUUUGGAAAGUGAUGGUGUCUCAGGUGGUCUUGGACAAAGGGAGCGUAAAAAGAAGAAAAAGCGGCCACCUGGAUAUUACAGCUAUUUGAAAGAUGGUGGCGAUGAUAGUAUCUCCACAGAAGCCCUGGUCAAUGGCCAUGCCAAUUCAGCAGUCCCGAACAGUGUCAGUGCAGAGGAUGCAGAAUUUAUGGGUGACAUGCCCCCGUCAGUUACGCCCAGGACUUGUAACAGCCCCCAGAACUCCACGGACUCUGUCAGUGACAUUGUGCCUGACAGUCCUUUCCCCGGAGCACUCGGCAGUGACACCAGGACUGCAGGGCAGCCGGAGG